GCGGUUGUGGCUCAGUGGUAGAGCACUUGCCUAGCAUGUAUGAGGCACUGGGUUCGAUUCUCAGCAUCACA
Molecule: transfer RNA, 71 nt
Filed under: Ictidomys tridecemlineatus (thirteen-lined ground squirrel)
Lineage: Eukaryota; Metazoa; Chordata; Mammalia; Rodentia; Sciuridae
Description: Spermophilus tridecemlineatus (thirteen-lined ground squirrel) tRNA
Rfam family: tRNA
About the family: Transfer RNA (tRNA) molecules are approximately 80 nucleotides in length.
Source: Rfam by way of RNAcentral